UAGUCCAGACCGUAAAUGAUGCACGCUAGAUGUAUUCUCCUUGAGAGGAUGUGUCGUAAGCUAACGCGUUAAGCGUGCCGCCUGAGUAGUAUAGUCGCAAGGCUGAAACUCAAAGGGAUAGGCGGGGGAACACACAAGCAGUGGAUUGCCUCGAUUAAUUGGAUAAUACGCCAAGAAUCUUACCUGGGCUUGACAUCCCGAGAACCUUUUCGAAAGUUUAGGGUGCCCUCCGGGGAGCUCGGUGACAGGUGCUGCAUGGCCGUCGUCAGCUCGUGCCGCAAGGUGUCCGGUUAAGUCCGGAAACGAGCGCAACCCUCGUCCUUAGUUAGAAUGUCUAAGGAGACUGCCUCGGUAACGAGGAGGAAGGAGAGGAUGACGUCAGGUCACUAUGGCCCUUAUGCCCAGGGCGUCAGAGACAAUACAAUGGGUGGUACAAUAGGUAACGAGACCGUGAGGUUUAGCCAAUCCCCAAAACCAUCCUCAGUGCGGAUUGUAGUCUGGAACUCGACUAC
This 512-nucleotide ribosomal RNA is filed under the name uncultured bacterium. RNAcentral's name for it is "bacterial SSU rRNA". It matches the Rfam family "Bacterial small subunit ribosomal RNA", at positions 791 to 1319 of the family's 1533-position model. The record is from RNAcentral.